RNAcentral lists this ribosomal RNA (427 nucleotides) under uncultured bacterium. Its description in RNAcentral is "partial 16S ribosomal RNA". It matches the Rfam family "Bacterial small subunit ribosomal RNA", at positions 355 to 774 of the family's 1533-position model. The record is from RNAcentral.
UGGGGAAUAUUGCACAAUGGGCGCAAGCCUGAUGCAGCCAUGCCGCGUGUAUGAAGAAGGCCUUCGGGUUGUAAAGUACUUUCAGCGGGGAGGAAGGUGUUGAGGCUAAUAACCUCAGCAAUUGACGUUACCCGCAGAAGAAGCACCGGCUAACUCCGUGCCAGCAGCCGCGGUAAUACGGAGGGUGCAAGCGUUAAUCGGAAUUACUGGGCGUAAAGCGCACGCAGGCGGUCUGUCAAGUCGGAUGUGAAAUCCCCGGGCUCAACCUGGGAACUGCAUUCGAAACUGGCAGGCUAGAGUCUUGUAGAGGGGGGUAGAAUUCCAGGUGUAGCGGUGAAAUGCGUAGAGAUCUGGAGGAAUACCGGUGGCGAAGGCGGCCCCCUGGACAAAGACUGACGCUCAGGUGCGAAAGCGUGGGGAUCAAACA